GGGUUGUGAGGUUAAGCGACUAAGCGUACACGGUGGAUGCCCUGGCAGUCAGAGGCGAUGAAGGACGUGCUAAUCUGCGAUAAGCGUCGGUAAGGUGAUAUGAACCGUUAUAACCGGCGAUUUCCGAAUGGGGAAACCCAGUGUGUUUCGACACACUAUCAUUAACUGAAUCCAUAGGUUAAUGAGGCGAACCGGGGGAACUGAAACAUCUAAGUACCCCGAGGAAAAGAAAUCAACCGAGAUUCCCCCAGUAGCGGCGAGCGAACGGGGAGGAGCCCAGAGCCUGAAUCAGUGUGUGUGUUAGUGGAAGCGUCUGGAAAGGCGCGCGAUACAGGGUGACAGCCCCGUACACAAAAAUGCACAUGCUGUGAGCUCGAUGAGUAGGGCGGGACACGUGGUAUCCUGUCUGAAUAUGGGGGGACCAUCCUCCAAGGCUAAAUACUCCUGACUGACCGAUAGUGAACCAGUACCGUGAGGGAAAGGCGAAAAGAACCCCGGCGAGGGGAGUGAAAAAGAACCUGAAACCGUGUACGUACAAGCAGUGGGAGCACGCUUAGGCGUGUGACUGCGUACCUUUUGUAUAAUGGGUCAGCGACUUAUAUUCUGUAGCAAGGUUAACCGAAUAGGGGAGCCGAAGGGAAACCGAGUCUUAACUGGGCGUUAAGUUGCAGGGUAUAGACCCGAAACCCGGUGAUCUAGCCAUGGGCAGGUUGAAGGUUGGGUAACACUAACUGGAGGACCGAACCGACUAAUGUUGAAAAAUUAGCGGAUGACUUGUGGCUGGGGGUGAAAGGCCAAUCAAACCGGGAGAUAGCUGGUUCUCCCCGAAAGCUAUUUAGGUAGCGCCUCGUGAAUUCAUCUCCGGGGGUAGAGCACUGUUUCGGCAAGGGGGUCAUCCCGACUUACCAACCCGAUGCAAACUGCGAAUACCGGAGAAUGUUAUCACGGGAGACACACGGCGGGUGCUAACGUCCGUCGUGAAGAGGGAAACAACCCAGACCGCCAGCUAAGGUCCCAAAGUCAUGGUUAAGUGGGAAACGAUGUGGGAAGGCCCAGACAGCCAGGAUGUUGGCUUAGAAGCAGCCAUCAUUUAAAGAAAGCGUAAUAGCUCACUGGUCGAGUCGGCCUGCGCGGAAGAUGUAACGGGGCUAAACCAUGCACCGAAGCUGCGGCAGCGACGCUUAUGCGUUGUUGGGUAGGGGAGCGUUCUGUAAGCCUGCGAAGGUGUGCUGUGAGGCGUGCUGGAGGUAUCAGAAGUGCGAAUGCUGACAUAAGUAACGAUAAAGCGGGUGAAAAGCCCGCUCGCCGGAAGACCAAGGGUUCCUGUCCAACGUUAAUCGGGGCAGGGUGAGUCGACCCCUAAGGCGAGGCCGAAAGGCGUAGUCGAUGGGAAACAGGUUAAUAUUCCUGUACUUGGUGUUACUGCGAAGGGGGGACGGAGAAGGCUAUGUUGGCCGGGCGACGGUUGUCCCGGUUUAAGCGUGUAGGCUGGUUUUCCAGGCAAAUCCGGAAAAUCAAGGCUGAGGCGUGAUGACGAGGCACUACGGUGCUGAAGCAACAAAUGCCCUGCUUCCAGGAAAAGCCUCUAAGCAUCAGGUAACAUCAAAUCGUACCCCAAACCGACACAGGUGGUCAGGUAGAGAAUACCAAGGCGCUUGAGAGAACUCGGGUGAAGGAACUAGGCAAAAUGGUGCCGUAACUUCGGGAGAAGGCACGCUGAUAUGUAGGUGAGGUCCCUCGCGGAUGGAGCUGAAAUCAGUCGAAGAUACCAGCUGGCUGCAACUGUUUAUUAAAAACACAGCACUGUGCAAACACGAAAGUGGACGUAUACGGUGUGACGCCUGCCCGGUGCCGGAAGGUUAAUUGAUGGGGUUAGCGCAAGCGAAGCUCUUGAUCGAAGCCCCGGUAAACGGCGGCCGUAACUAUAACGGUCCUAAGGUAGCGAAAUUCCUUGUCGGGUAAGUUCCGACCUGCACGAAUGGCGUAAUGAUGGCCAGGCUGUCUCCACCCGAGACUCAGUGAAAUUGAACUCGCUGUGAAGAUGCAGUGUACCCGCGGCAAGACGGAAAGACCCCGUGAACCUUUACUAUAGCUUGACACUGAACAUUGAGCCUUGAUGUGUAGGAUAGGUGGGAGGCUUUGAAGUGUGGACGCCAGUCUGCAUGGAGCCGACCUUGAAAUACCACCCUUUAAUGUUUGAUGUUCUAACGUUGACCCGUAAUCCGGGUUGCGGACAGUGUCUGGUGGGUAGUUUGACUGGGGCGGUCUCCUCCUAAAGAGUAACGGAGGAGCACGAAGGUUGGCUAAUCCUGGUCGGACAUCAGGAGGUUAGUGCAAUGGCAUAAGCCAGCUUGACUGCGAGCGUGACGGCGCGAGCAGGUGCGAAAGCAGGUCAUAGUGAUCCGGUGGUUCUGAAUGGAAGGGCCAUCGCUCAACGGAUAAAAGGUACUCCGGGGAUAACAGGCUGAUACCGCCCAAGAGUUCAUAUCGACGGCGGUGUUUGGCACCUCGAUGUCGGCUCAUCACAUCCUGGGGCUGAAGUAGGUCCCAAGGGUAUGGCUGUUCGCCAUUUAAAGUGGUACGCGAGCUGGGUUUAGAACGUCGUGAGACAGUUCGGUCCCUAUCUGCCGUGGGCGCUGGAGAACUGAGGGGGGCUGCUCCUAGUACGAGAGGACCGGAGUGGACGCAUCACUGGUGUUCGGGUUGUCAUGCCAAUGGCACUGCCCGGUAGCUAAAUGCGGAAGAGAUAAGUGCUGAAAGCAUCUAAGCACGAAACUUGCCCCGAGAUGAGUUCUCCCUGACUCCUUGAGAGUCCUGAAGGAACGUUGAAGACGACGACGUUGAUAGGCCGGGUGUGUAAGCGCAGCGAUGCGUUGAGCUAACCGGUACUAAUGAACCGUGAGGCUUAACCUUACAACGCCGAAGCUGUU
Molecule: ribosomal RNA, 2930 nt
Filed under: Escherichia coli
Lineage: Bacteria; Pseudomonadati; Pseudomonadota; Gammaproteobacteria; Enterobacterales; Enterobacteriaceae
Description: 23S ribosomal RNA
Rfam family: Bacterial large subunit ribosomal RNA
Source: RNAcentral